GGUGGGGAUAGAGCUCAGUUGGUAGAGUGCUUGCUUUGCCCGCACAAGGCCCUGGGUUCAACCUCCAGCUCCACCA
Molecule: transfer RNA, 76 nt
Filed under: Marmota monax (woodchuck)
Lineage: Eukaryota; Metazoa; Chordata; Mammalia; Rodentia; Sciuridae
Description: tRNA.Ala
Source: RNAcentral